GUGAGGAAUAUUGGUCAAUGGGCGAGAGCCUGAACCAGCCAAGUCGCGUGAAGGAAGAAGGAUCUAUGGUUCGUAAACUUCUUUUGCAGGGGAAUAAAGUGCGGGACGUGUCCUGUUUUGUAUGUACCCUGAGAAUAAGGAUCGGCUAACUCCGUGCCAGCAGCCGCGGUAAUACGGAGGAUCCGAGCGUUAUCCGGAUUUAUUGGGUUUAAAGGGUGCGUAGGUGGUUUGAUAAGUCAGCGGUGAAAGUUUGCAGCUUAACUGUAAAAAUGCCGUUGAAACUGUCGGACUUGAGUGUAAAUGAGGUAGGCGGAAUGCGUGGUGUAGCGGUGAAAUGCAUAGAUAUCACGAAGAACUCCGAUUGCGAAGGCAGCUUACUAAGCUACAACUGACACUGAAGCACGAAAGCGUGGGGAUCAAACAGGAUUAGAUACCCCGGUAGUCC
Molecule: ribosomal RNA, 445 nt
Filed under: uncultured bacterium
Lineage: Bacteria
Description: partial 16S ribosomal RNA
Rfam family: Bacterial small subunit ribosomal RNA
Source: RNAcentral